GAUGAGACAGAAAACAAGGGUCCUUGAUCUCUUGCAGUCAUUUGAAGUGCAUGAAGAUCUCACCUAAAAGGGCGAUGCUAAGGCCCUGACCCCAGGCAGUUACGCUUCCUUUUGCUGCCCCAUAAACUCCACCUGGACACGUGGUCCGUGCAGCAGUUCAGCAACCCAGUCUGAGGAUGCUGUCUUCAGUUAUAUUUCUCAUCUUCUAUUAGAAGAGUGUCUGCAAGGCCACAGAUGAACGCAUCUGUCACUUCAAUUAUCUCGAUCUUAAAUUUCCCAUGGAAAUAAUAAGCUGGUAAUAUCUAACAUGAUACUUACAACAUGA
This is a long non-coding RNA of Leopardus geoffroyi (Geoffroy's cat), 325 nucleotides long. RefSeq lists it as uncharacterized. The transcript has 2 exons. The record is from RefSeq and is a predicted model, not a curated record. Lineage: Eukaryota; Metazoa; Chordata; Mammalia; Carnivora; Felidae.